Long non-coding RNA from Oncorhynchus tshawytscha (Chinook salmon), 2782 nucleotides. Lineage: Eukaryota; Metazoa; Chordata; Actinopteri; Salmoniformes; Salmonidae. The record is from Ensembl.
CUGGCUAAUGGGAGCUUGUGGCUGGGUGUCUGGCUAAUGGGAGCAUGUGGCUGGGUGUCUGGCUAAUGGGAGCCUGUCCCUGUGGCUGGGUGUCUGGCUAAUGGGAGCUUGUGGCUGGGUGAAUAAAUGUGUCUGGAAUGGGAACACUUUUUAAAAUGUUAGUUUUGGAGGGUCAGUGCAACAUUUGUUGUUUAAUAAAGUGUGUGUUUUUAAAUAAUUUUCAACUGCAAGAUGUGGGCAAGAUAUACUGUCGACGUGAAGGGGAAAGGCCAGAUUCAACAAUGGGACUAGGCCUACAUAGUCUACAUUGAAAGAACAUUAGGCCUGUUACAGGCCGUUAUAUAACGUCUGGAUUCUGAAGAGGAUGGAUGUGGUGGGAAUCACAGACCCUGACAACAGUCUGAUGAGGAUGGAUGAGCCAGGAAGCUCAGACCAUGACAACAGUCUGAUGAGGAUGGAUGCUGCAGGAAGCUCAGACCCUGACAACAGUCUGAUGAGGAUGGAUGAGCCAGGAAGCUCAGACCCUGACAACAGUCUGAUGAGGAUGGAUGCUGCAGGAAGCUCAGACCCUGACAACAGUCUGAUGAGGAUGGAUGCUGCAGGAAGCUCAGACCCCGACAACAGUCUGACGAGGAUGGAUGAGGGGGGAAGCUCCGACCCCGACAACAGUCUGAAGAGGAUGGAUGAGCCGGGAAGCUCAGACCCCGACAACAGUUUGAAGAGGAUGGAUGAGCCAGAUAGCUCCGACCUCGACAACAGUCUGAAGAGGAUGGAUGAGGGGGGAAGCUCAGACCCCGACAACAGUUUGAAGAGGAUGGAUGAGCCGGGAAGCUCCGACUCCAAUAACAGUCUGAAGAGGAUGGAUGAGCCGGGAAGCUCCGACUCCGACAACAGUCUGAAGAGGAUGGAUGCUGCAGGAAGCUCCGACUCCGACAACAGUUUGAAGAGGAUGGAUGAGCCGGGAAGCUCCGACCCCAACAACAGUCUGAAGAGGAUGGAUGAGGGGGGAAGCUCCGACCCCGACAACAGUCUGAAGAGGAUGGAUGAGCCAGAUAGCUCCGACCCCGACAACAGUCUGAAGAGGAUGGAUGAGCCAGAUAGCUCCAACCCCAACAACAGUCUGAAGAGGAUGGAUGAGCCGGAAAGCUCCGACAACAGUCUGAAGAGGAUGGAUGCUGCAGGAAGCUCCGACUCCGACAACAGUUUGAAGAGGAUGGAUGCUGCAGGAAGCUCCGACUCCGACAACAGUUUGAAGAGGAUGGAUGAGCCGGGAAGCUCCGACCCCAACAACAGUCUGAAGAGGAUGGAUGAGGGGGGAAGCUCCGACCCCGACAACAGUCUGAAGAGGAUAGAUGAGCCAGAUAGCUCAGACCCCGACAACAGUCUGAAGAGGAUGGAUGAGCCGGGAAGCUCCGACCCUGACAACAAUUUGAAAGAGAUGGAUGAGCCAGAUAGCUCAGACCCCGACCACAGUCUGAAGAGGAUAGAUGAGCCAGAUAGCUCAGACCCCGACAACAGUCUGAAGAGGAUGGUUGAGCCGGGAAGCUCCGACCCCGACAACAGUCAAGUUUAUUCUCUCAUAUCAGAAUGUGACCUCUUCAGAAAUCUAAAACUGUUGGACCAGGACCAGGAAUGGCUGCCGGAUGAAGACACGGUUCUGUCCAGCAGAACCUCAGGCCCCUCAUCCAUUGUCAGUCUCUGCGACCCCAUGGCUCAGUACCUGAAUGAGGAAUUCAAAGCUUUCCUUGAGAGAAGAGGGACCUACAAGGAGCUAGAGAUGGUAGUUUCCAAAGUCCUGCUGAAACUUCUCCAGGCCAGAAAAGCAGACGGGGCCCCGCUGUUUAUCAGCCCUACACCUGAUAACUCUGCCCUCCAUGAUCAGAAGAAGACAUCAACGUUAGACAAGGAGAUGAAUGUAUCUCCAUUGAAUGUAACUGCUGCUGGUCCUUUGGCAGUUGACGCCUUUCCAUCACCCACACCUAAAUAUGUUGUGAUCUCUUCGGUCGAAGGACUUGACCUGGACCCCUCGACCAAUCGGUGCACAGGAAACACGAAAGAGGUACCAGAGGAGCAGUCGUCAACCAUUCUGAGGAUGGAGCAACAGGACUGGCUGAAUAAGAUUGCCUUUAACACCCAUGCCGAUGCAAAGACAGAAUACAUUAACCCUGAGCUUUUCAACAAAAAGAAGCUUGGCCAGACCCCUCAUCACAGGUACACAGGCCGUCUACCUCCAGUGAGCAGCGGCUCCCGGGGUUCGGACUCUACCACUACGACUCUGAGGGGAAUCCUCCAGGCCGCCCUGUCCAGCCUUAAUAGACAGACCAGGAGGGAGAUAUACCUCUCCCAGAAACUAGGAAGGAUCGUCAUCCCUUUCUCUGGGACACGAUAGGUCGGCCCGGAAUGAAACGUCCCAUGAAGUCAUUCUACUUAAGGACAGAUUCUGGGACAUGUAAUAAAUAGUAUCUUAAAGAACCUGACUCCAGAUAGUGCUUUUUAAUUCAUAGGUUUACAGAAAGGACUGUGUGUGUGUGUGUGUGUGUGUAUAUACUGUAUAAGGGCCAUAUGUUGAUAAAUUUGAGAUCAAUUUGAGAUCACAAUCGUCUGAAGUAGGGUUUCUCUCCGUACCUUCUUUUCUUGUCUCCUCCUCUCCUUAAUAUCAUUGACCUGAAAGCACAGAGCAGGUGAAAGUAUAAUUUAUUUGUACAUGUCCAGCUUUAUAUAGUGCAUAUGGAGGAAAGAGAAGUCAUUGAAUGAUAUGGUUGGCCAAUGGGGUCCGUGUACA